AAGCGGUACGCGAGCUGGGUUCAGAACGUCGUGAGACAGUUCGGUCCCUAUCCGUCGCGGGCGCAGGAAAUUUGAGAGGAGCUGUCCUUAGUACGAGAGGACCGGGAUGGACACAUCGCUGGUGUACCAGUUGUUCUGCCAAGAGCAUCGCUGGGUAGCUAUGUGUGGCCGGGAUAAGUGCUGAAAGCAUCUAAGCACGAAGCCCCCCUCAAGAUGAGAUUUCCCAUUGCGCAAGCAAGUAAGAUCCCUCAAAGACGAUGAGGUAGAUAGGUUCGGGGUGGAAGCGUGGCGACACGUGCAGCUGACGAAUACUAAUCGAUCGAGGACUUAACCAA
This 335-nucleotide ribosomal RNA is filed under the name Planococcus sp. CP5-4_YE. RNAcentral describes it as "partial 23S ribosomal RNA". It matches the Rfam family "Bacterial large subunit ribosomal RNA", at positions 2591 to 2925 of the family's 2925-position model. Lineage: Bacteria; Bacillati; Bacillota; Bacilli; Caryophanales; Caryophanaceae. The record is from RNAcentral.